This 253-nucleotide long non-coding RNA is filed under the name Ananas comosus (pineapple). RNAcentral describes it as "long non-coding RNA (ACOM_LNC013371)". Lineage: Eukaryota; Viridiplantae; Streptophyta; Magnoliopsida; Poales; Bromeliaceae. The record is from RNAcentral.
AACCUACACCAUAAUAACCAAAUCAAAGCCCAAACCUAACCUCAAACCCAAAUCAAAUCAAAAUUCCUGUUUAACCCAAUCCGAAUCCUACACAACCUAAUCCAACCUCUUCUCCAUACCAUGUCCUUAGAAACAAAAUAUUUCAACCCAAUUCUCUAGCAUACAAAACUAGAGUCAAAUCACAACCAUAUUCAAACUCGAUCAAAUUCUAAAUAUAUACUUAGAUUUGAUCAAACUGUCUUUUUAUCUUAGU